CCUACGGGAGGCAGCAGUGGGGAAUAUUGCACAAUGGGGGAAACCCUGAUGCAGCGACGCCGCGUGAGUGAAGAAGUAUUUCGGUAUGUAAAGCUCUAUCAGCAGGGAAGAAGAAAGCCGGUACCUGACUAAGAAGCCCCGGCUAACUACGUGCCAGCAGCCGGGGUAAUACGUAGGGGGCAAGCGUUAUCCGGAUUUACUGGGUGUAAAGGGAGCGUAGACGGCUGUGCAAGUCUGAAGUGAAAGCCCAGGGCUCAACCCUGGGACUGCUUUGGAAACUGUGGAGCUGGAGUGCGGGAGAGGUAAGUGGAAUUCCUAGUGUAGCGGUGAAAUGCGUAGAUAUUAGGAGGAACACCAGUGGCGAAGGCGGCUUACUGGACAGUAACUGACGUUGAGGCUCGAAAGCGUAGGGAGCAAACAGGAUUAGAUACCCUUGUAGUC
RNAcentral lists this ribosomal RNA (441 nucleotides) under uncultured bacterium. RNAcentral describes it as "partial 16S ribosomal RNA". It matches the Rfam family "Bacterial small subunit ribosomal RNA", at positions 338 to 795 of the family's 1533-position model. The record is from RNAcentral.